CUUGAGCCGGGAAUGGAAAGACCGGUACAAGCGAGGUAGGAGAAGAGUUGGCAAAUCCGCUCUUUAAUCUGAAGACGUGAUGUGGACUGAAAAUAAGUAGGGAAGCACGUGAGCUGACUGUCAAGAAAAGCCGCUAUUGUUUGCAGGAUACCCGUACCGUAAACCGACACAGGUGGAUGAGGAGAGAAUCCUAAGGCCGGCGGGAGAAGCAUUGUUAAGGAACUCGGCAAAAUGACUCCGUAACUUCGGGAGAAGGAGUGCCAGUAAGAUGGCCGCAGAGAAUUGGCCCAAGCAACUGUUUAGCAAAAACACAGGUCUAUGCAAAACCGAAAGGUGAGGUAUAUGGGCUGACGCCUGCCCGGUGCUGGAAGGUUAAGGGGAGAGGUUAGCGCAAGCGAAGCUUUGAACUUAAGCCCCAGUAAACGGCGGCCGUAACGAUAACGGUCCUAAGGUAGCGAAAUUCCUUGUCGGGUAAGUUCCGACCCGCACGAAAGGCGUAAUGAUUUGGGCACUGUCUCAACAAUGCACCCGGUGAAAUUGAAAUACCAGUGAAGAUGCUGGUUACCUGCGCCAGGACGGAAAGACCCCAUGGAGCUUUACUCCAGCUUGAUACUGGGAUUCGGUAUUGCAUGUACAGGAUAGGUGGGAGGCUAGGAAAUGGUAACGCCAGUUGCCAUGGAGCCAAUGUUGGGAUACCACCCUUGCAGUACUGGGUUUCUAACCAGCAGCCGUGAUCCGGCUGGGGGACAAUGUCAGGUGGGGAGUUUGACUGGGGCGGUCGCCUCCGAAAGGGUAUCGGAGGCGCUCAAAGGUUCCCUCAGAAUGGUUGGAAACCAUUCGAAGAGUGCAAAGGCAGAAGGGAGCUUGACUGCGACACCGACGGGUGGAGCAGGUACGAAAGUAGGACUUAGUGAUCCGGUGGUAUAAAGUGGGAUUGCCAUCGCUCAACGGAUAAAAGCUACCCUGGGAUAACAGGCUUAUCACUCCCAAGAGUUCACAUCGACGGAGUGGUUUGGCACCUCGAUGUCGGCUCAUCGCAUCCUGGGGCUGAAGUAGGUCCCAAGGGUUGGGCUGUUCGCCCAUUAAAGCGGUACGCGAGCUGGGUUCAGAACGUCGUGAGACAGUUCGGUCCCUAUCCGGCGUGAGCGUAAGAUAUUUGAGAGGAGCUGUCCUUAGUACGAGAGGACCGGGAUGGACUGGCCGCUGGUGUAUCUGUUGUCUUACCAAAGGCAUAGCAGAGUAGCCAAGCCGGGAAGGGAUAAACGCUGAAGGCAUCUAAGCGUGAAGCCCCCCUCAAGAUGAGAUAUCUCAUAACGUCAAGUUAGUAAGACCCCUUGAAGACGACGAGGUAGAUAGGGCAGAGGUGGAAGUGUGGUAACACAUGGAGCUGACUGUUACUAAUAGGUCGAGGGCAUAACU
Molecule: ribosomal RNA, 1419 nt
Filed under: metagenome
Description: bacterial LSU rRNA
Rfam family: Bacterial large subunit ribosomal RNA
Source: RNAcentral